Molecule: long non-coding RNA, 607 nt
Organism: Clupea harengus (Atlantic herring)
Lineage: Eukaryota; Metazoa; Chordata; Actinopteri; Clupeiformes; Clupeidae
Source: Ensembl
AACACCAUGGACACAGGUCUCUGUCCUCACGAACACCAUGGACACAGGUCUCUGUCCUCACGAACACCAUGGACACAGGUCUCUGUCCUCACGAACACCAUGGACACAGGUCUCUGUCCUCACGAACACCAUGGACACAGGUCUCUGUCCUCACGAACACCAUGGACACAGGUCUCUGUCCUCACGAACACCAUGGACACAGGUCUCUGUCCUCACGAACACCAUGGACACAGGUCUCUGAUUGGUCGCCUUGCCUUGCCUUUCCUCUUGCAUCUUCAGCAGGCAGCAAGUUCUCGGAGGACCUGGGGCGUAGACACACAAGAAGGCGUACACCACUCUCUAAGCAAACUUUGGGAUUUAUAAAAAGCAAGCUUGAUAGGGAGACUAUGCGGUCCUCCACAGACACUUUGAUCCAUGCGUACACACAUGAACUGAAGAAAGGAGAAACUGCGACUCCAAUGGCAGAGGCCUGAAGCUCGAGAAAUGCUUUGAAAUUCAUACCAUUCUGAAAAUAUUCGAAACAUGUCGAAAUAUUAGCUCUCCCAUAUAAUAUAUAAAGAGCAAACACAAACACACAAAAAAAACAUUAUUUAGUAUAAUAAAUGAG